AGUAUUAGUGCCUCCACACUACCCUGAAUGCACCUGAUCUUGUCUGGUGUUAGAAGCUAAGCAGAGUUGGACGUGCCUAGUAAUUCAGUGGGAGACCACAAGGUAGUACCAAGUAUUGAUGUUU
RNAcentral lists this ribosomal RNA (124 nucleotides) under Pogona vitticeps (central bearded dragon). The record is from RNAcentral. Lineage: Eukaryota; Metazoa; Chordata; Lepidosauria; Squamata; Agamidae.